UUAACUAUAGUACAAUCGAAGUACUUUAAGUUGUCAACUUAAAAGUAGGGGAACCUUAGUUAAU
This 64-nucleotide transfer RNA is filed under the name Salpa thompsoni. RNAcentral describes it as "tRNA-Asp". Lineage: Eukaryota; Metazoa; Chordata; Thaliacea; Salpida; Salpidae. The record is from RNAcentral.